This is a long non-coding RNA of Sarcophilus harrisii (Tasmanian devil), 1231 nucleotides long. The record is from Ensembl. NCBI's taxonomy places the organism in Eukaryota, Metazoa, Chordata, Mammalia, Dasyuromorphia, Dasyuridae.
CCUAUUUCCUCCUAUGUUCCAACCUCUUCUGAUUUGCCCCAGAGAUACUACUCACAAGGGAACAGACCUAGGAUACUAAGAAGUUACUGCUGAAUAGACCACUGCCUGCAGGGGAUGUGUUACCUGAGAUGCAAUAAGAGCUAGAAAGCUGGAGAAAGAGGCCACAUGAUCUGGAAAAUGUACCUGGCUGGAUCCUGAUGGAAAAAUCCAGAAGUCACAGUGAGUUCUUUCUCCAACCCAGAUUGGUAUAAGGAGGCAAAACACAGAGGUCUACGGAUGCUAAGGACUGGGUCAUGGCAGGAAUACACUCCACUCCAGCUUCCAGGGAGAGGCUGUGCACCAGGGUAAGAGAAGGUUGCAGACUUAUCAGGGCCCUACUAGACCCAUACUGGGUCACUCUGAUAGGGAGCAAAUUGUACCUCUGUCACCCACUACCCAGUUCUGGGUCACAGAACCAGGGCAGACAGAGGAAUAACUGGAGCAGGAAUCCCAGGCUCAAGAGAAGGCUGACAAUUCUGCCAUUGUAAACCAAUAGUGCUUCCCAACUGGCUGGUAAUGGUUGAAUCCAGCAGCAAUCUACUCUUGCACAGAUCCAAACUUGGGUCAGAAGAUGCAGAGCUCAGGAUCCCUGUCAAUACAGAUCGAAUGGGUCCAGCUGGGGGCCGGAGCCUGGAAGCUGGGGAGGGUCCUGAGCUUUUGGAGGGCCAUGGAGCACCUUUGAGGAGUUCACUCACAUUCUUGGAUGGGGCCCUGGGCCUUGGUAUACUCGGACUUGGUGCUCGUCUGGUCCUGGCCCUGGCUGGUCCAGCCAUGAUGCUUUUGCUGCUGUUUCUGAUGUUGAGUUUCCUGACCUUUGAUCUUUUGCAUGGACCCCAGGACUUGCCUCUGCCUCAAAGACCAACUUUUAGACCCCUUGGCCCAGGAGGGGGUGGUGAAGGCCCCCGCUUGCAAGAACCGCUGCUCCCUCCUGUCCUGAGCCAAAUCUUGGAUGGAUUCCUGCUCUUCACAGGCCUAGGCCUCAUCUUUGGGGCGCUGAUGCCCUUCAGUAUCUUUAGCCUUAUAGUCAGCCUACAGGCGCUGGCCUGAAACAAAGCCCUCUGUUCUGUGGAAACCAGAAGGCUUUAAGAGCCUCCUCACCGAAAUACACGAGGAUUGACUAAAUUCUGCCUCUGAAUUUCCUUUCCUGUUCCCCUCCGGGCCGUUCUGGGGUGAAAGGCCCCAAAUUAGUUCC